CCUACGGGGGGCAGCAGUGAGGAAUAUUGGUCAAUGGACGAGAGUCUGAACCAGCCAAGUAGCGUGAAGGAUGACUGCCUUAUGGGUUGUAAACUUCUUUUAUAUGGGAAUAAAACGUUCCACGUGUGGGAUUUUGUAUGUACCAUAUGAAUAAGGAUCGGCUAACUCCGUGCCAGCAGCCGCGGUAAUACGGAGGAUCCGAGCGUUAUCCGGAUUUAGUGGGUGUAAAGGGAGCGUAGGUGGAUUGUUAAGUCAGUUGUGAAAGUUUGCGGCUCAACCGUAAAAUUGCAGUUGAAACUGGCAGUCUGGAGUACAGGAGAGGUGGGCGGAAUUCGUGGUGUAGCGGUGAAAUGCUUAGAUAUCACGAAGAACACCGAUUGCGAAGGCAGUUCACUGGACUGCAACUGACGCUGAGGCUCGAAAGUGUGGGUAGCAAACAGGAUUAGAUACCCUGGUAGUC
Molecule: ribosomal RNA, 460 nt
Filed under: uncultured bacterium
Lineage: Bacteria
Description: partial 16S ribosomal RNA
Rfam family: Bacterial small subunit ribosomal RNA
Source: RNAcentral